GAUGAACGUUGGCGGCGUGCCUAAUACAUGCAAGUCGAGCGAACAGAUAAGGAGCUUGCUCCUUUGACGUUAGCGGCGGACGGGUGAGUAACACGUGGGUAACCUACCUAUAAGACUGGGAUAACUUCGGGAAACCGGAGCUAAUACCGGAUAAUAUUUCGAACCGCAUGGUUCGAUAGUGAAAGAUGGUUUUGCUAUCACUUAUAGGUGGACCCGCGCCGUAUUAGCUAGUUGGUAAGGUAACGGCUUACCAAGGCAACGAUACGUAGCCGACCUGAGAGGGUGAUCGGCCACACUGGAACUGAGACACGGUCCAGACUCCUACGGGAGGCAGCAGUAGGGAAUCUUCCGCAAUGGGCGAAAGCCUGACGGAGCAACGCCGCGUGAGUGAUGAAGGUCUUCGGAUCGUAAAACUCUGUUAUUAGGGAAGAACAUACGUGUAAGUAACUAUGCACGUCUUGACGGUACCUAAUCAGAAAGCCACGGCUAACUACGUGCCAGCAGCCGCGGUAAUACGUAGGUGGCAAGCGUUAUCCGGAAUUAUUGGGCGUAAAGCGCGCGUAGGCGGUUUUUUAAGUCUGAUGUGAAAGCCCACGGCUCAACCGUGGAGGGUCAUUGGAAACUGGAAAACUUGAGUGCAGAAGAGGAAAGUGGAAUUCCAUGUGUAGCGGUGAAAUGCGCAGAGAUAUGGAGGAACACCAGUGGCGAAGGCGACUUUCUGGUCUGUAACUGACGCUGAUGUGCGAAAGCGUGGGGAUCAAACAGGAUUAGAUACCCUGGUAGUCCACGCCGUAAACGAUGAGUGCUAAGUGUUAGGGGGUUUCCGCCCCUUAGUGCUGCAGCUAACGCAUUAAGCACUCCGCCUGGGGAGUACGACCGCAAGGUUGAAACUCAAAGGAAUAGACGGGGACCCGCACAAGCGGUGGAGCAUGUGGUUUAAUUCGAAGCAACGCGAAGAACCUUACCAAAUCUUGACAUCCUUUGACCGCUCUAGAGAUAGAGUUUUCCCCUUCGGGGGACAGAGUGACAGGUGGUGCAUGGUUGUCGUCAGCUCGUGUCGUGAGAUGUUGGGUUAAGUCCCGCAACGAGCGCAACCCUUAAACUUAGUUGCCAGCAUUGAGUUGGGCACUCUAAGUUGACUGCCGGUGACAAACCGGAGGAAGGUGGGGAUGACGUCAAAUCAUCAUGCCCCUUAUGAUCUGGGCUACACACGUGCUACAAUGGACAAUACAAAGGGCAGCGAAACCGCGAGGUCAAGCAAAUCCCAUAAAGUUGUUCUCAGUUCGGAUUGUAGUCUGCAACUCGACUACAUGAAGCUGGAAUCGCUAGUAAUCGUAGAUCAGCAUGCUACGGUGAAUACGUUCCCGGGUCU
Molecule: ribosomal RNA, 1372 nt
Filed under: uncultured bacterium
Lineage: Bacteria
Description: bacterial SSU rRNA
Rfam family: Bacterial small subunit ribosomal RNA
Source: RNAcentral